AGCGUGAAGGCGACCGCCGCUGCCAGCCGGCCGGUGCAUUCACCGCUCACCGUAUCGAAUUUAUCGCGAGAUCGAUACGCGCGCAUACCCGCCAACGCGCUCUGUAUACACACUUACCUGCGCCUAGCCGACGACGUCACCACACGUGGCGCGCUGUGGCGGCGGCGGCAGGGACGUGCUAGUGUGUGUGCGCGCCACGAUUAUAUGGAAUUCAGCGAUUACGCCACCUACCUACGUACAGCGAGCGAGUGCGUCCGCUCAGCGGUAAUAAUAAUAAUAAUUAGCCGCCUCAUUAUUGUUAUUGGAGGCGACGCACGACGGCGCUCGCUGUCACCGACAGAUAACCGCUGCGCGCGACCAGACACCGCCGCGUUCGAUUCUCGCGCCGUGCUCGUCUCACCAUUGUUACUAUUGUCGCCGGACAAGGAGAAGUACUCCCCUUUGUGUUGUUGUGUGUACCUGGCUACCGGAUUGUAGUCACUGGAUUGUUUGACUCGACACCACCGGACCGUUCUAUCAGAUUGUGUGGACUGCCAGAUCACCUCAAUAAAUACUUUAUAUUACAAAGUAAGUUACGUCCGAUAAUGUUUUCACAAAACGCGUCAGGGACGCAUUUAAGUAAACUUUUAUAGAGUAUGUACAACUAAGUAUUGUUGGUAGGAGUGAACUUUUGUAAUGUCGGUAGCAUACUGGCAUACGAUGCAUUAAUAUCACUGUAAUAAUUAAAGAUUACUAGAUGUACAAUUUUUUUUUUUAAUAAUAAGCAACCUCUUUAACCGAAACCAAAACAAAAACACAUGUAUAAUAUCAUGUUCUUAAUUUCCUUAAGUCUUGUCUUGACACGCAAAUUUUACUUGGAUAUACAUCAGUCAUCAAAGUAAAUGAAAUGUUUUAAUAACAUAAUUGAUAAAACGGACAGGUUUCGUUUACAUCAGCGUUGAAACUCCGUCGAGUUGCUCCCAGUCAAGUUUAAUUCACAAAGUGCACGUAUUCUGUGUUCAUAUUUUAUUUAUUAAAUCAACAGUGGCGUGCAAAGUAAUGAACACACCUGUUGUAUUAUUCUUUGAGCUAUGCGAUUUUACAAUAGUCGCUGUAUCCGUAAUUUACGUUUUUUCCGAAUUCAAAAGUUUGAUUCAAUAUUUUUAUUGCUCGACAGUCGGCAGCACACAUGUUGUAAAUUUACACUGACUUUGCCCAAACAGGUAUUUUAUCGUUUUUCCUAAUUGCUAAUUCGUCUUGCUAAGUGAACCAUGAACUACGUUAACAUCCAGUGAUAUUUUUGUACGUUAAAUUUUGUUAUCUUAAUUUAAACCGACUUUUAGUCAAAGUUAACGCUCAUGUGACUAUUACGGGUGCGAUGACAAAAAAUUUGCACGCUAAUAAGGAUGCUGGAAAGGGUAAACUUAAGCGUGGAGAUCCAAAAAUUCUCUGUAAUUCUAAUUUUAUCCUCCUUUGAGCCUGUUUGCGGAAUUUGAACUCGAGAAUUCCUUCGUGCAUUGACUCCUGCGCGGGUGGCGGGAGGGCGUCGAGCCGAGUCGUAAAAUGCAAACGCUUCGUGUCACACGCGGAGUGACACAUAGCUUUCAUAUCGUAUGACAUGCCGAUCUGUCUUUGUUCCGAUGAGUUAUGCCCUGUGUCCCGCCGGUCCGCUAGAUGAACGCUAACCGCGCCACAAAUCAUCGAGACUGCUAACUCACUCCGCAAGAACGUCGCCCCCGCCCCCGCGACGCCUCGCCGACCUCGCCAACGUCUUCCCGCAAAUUCUCACCCCGAAACGAUACACCGGUGCUCACCGGACGAAUAUCACACGAACGCCGCAAUGACGCAAACUCCAUAGUCGCGUGCGCUCGCCGACGUUCAACUUACAUUGGGCCGUUUGUGCGCGGCACACACGAUCAUUAAACGUAUAUCUGUUAAUAAUAAUUGCGAUUGUCUGGUUGUACGUGCGCGCCGAGUUAUGGCGCAGUUGCCGGGCGGUUUGCGAGACCCCCCUCCGCCGCCCGUCACCCGCCGCCGACUCCUCGGAUCUGCGGCGAGCUGCGCAUCUUGAGAUGAAAUGGCAUUCAGUUUCGUUUUGUGACGGUUGAAUGGGCGCCCGGUUUCGCGAAUACGUAUGUGUAUUGAAUGUAUGAAUACAUGCAUUACACUGAACAAGAUGGAUUUUCGCAUGACUAAAACACAUGAAAGCGACGUUAGCAUUAUGCUAAAGUCCUCAUUUUGUAUCAGUUAUCAUAUUAUUAUAUAGAUUAGCGAAGUGGCUUACCGAAAUCAACCGCGCGUUCUGCUUAGUCACGUAUACAAUACACGUGUUAGGCUCGACGAAAUAUGGCCGUGACCUCGAAAAGAAUACGGGCUGAUGAUACAACUAAACAGAUUAUUGCCAUACAGCUAUAUAAAAUUGGAAAUUAUACCUACUCGAUUAAUUGAGCGUUACAAAAAACAACUCGCUUGUCUUGUCAUAAUAUGAGCCAAACGAUAAUUUGUUUGGUAUUAGAUAACUUUUAGCACGUCGCGACGCGAGAUGUAAGCGUUGUCCUCAUAUACACGUCGACCCUAUUUGUUACACUUAUGUGGUUUGACUAUUCUGAACACUGAAAACCGUAUCUAUAUUUAUUUUAUAAAAGAUACUUUAUUUUUGUUACUAUCGAGUAUUUUUAUAUUAUAGUAAUGAAACUAUUCCAUGUAUCAUGCAAGAAGUAAUAUAUAUAACGAUGCAUCUCUGGGCAUGAUUGUGGCUAGCCAUAACCAGUUUUAGAUUAUAAAACAUGACCACCUGCACAGCAAAUUAACAGAUCAUUCCUUUUUACUCGCGUUGCUAAGAAUAUGUGUAAUUAGAAAACAUUCCGCUUUCAAAGCAUUACAGAAUUCGGAAAGUUAUUGCAAAAUAUACCAAGAAAAUUUGCCUGGGACGUGGGGUCACUUCAUACAAAAAUAGUUUCUAUGAGAAAAGAGAAUUUGCUGGCGAUCGUUUGCAGGCCAUUCGGAAGGCCGCCUACAAUUUCCACCUUUUAUAUCCAAUAAUUCACAUUCUCUCACUUUACGAGGCAUUAUAAAGCACAUGUUACGCCGUAGUUUAGUUUUUCCGUUAGCUUGCACAUUUUUACGAUCCCGAUGUCGAGCGCUAUGCGGUGGUAGUUUAGCACAGCGUUGCCCGCCGGGCUCUCACGACCGGUCCCUACGUGAUCUCCUGCGACGCUCCCCGACUCGCUAAUAACUGCCGUGUGCACGUGUGUGGGUGUGUAUCCGACAUACAUGUAAUACAUGUGAAAAGAAAAAUGUUCUUCGUUACUUUGAUAACGUAUUGUGUUGUACGUGACGCAAAUACAACUUCGCUUCACGUUUUUGUAUUUUUUUUAUUAUAAUUACGUUUUAUUCGCUUUGAUGUAUCGCUACAUGUCCGGUUUCGAUUUUAUUUAAUUAUAUCAUAAUGUCGCGUGAUUGUGACAGCUAAAUCGAUAAAAAAUCAUAUUUACAUUAUUGUACCGGUUCAUACUUGAUUGAUACCCACGUUAUAAUAAGAUUAUAAUUAUCGGUUUUCAAUAAUUUAGCAUUUGAUAUCGUAUUCUAAAAUAUAUUUUCUCAAAAUCUUCGAUAUGAUCAAUAACAUGAAUAAUGCACUUAUAUUUUAAACAUCAGAUUUAAACGUCGCUUUUAAGAAACUAACAAAUGUUACGAUGUGUCUGCACAAUAGGUUAACUGUCUAUCAUUACUCAUGCACCGUUGCGACUUUCAAAGCUCUGUACAAGCGCGGGCCGGUGUCAAUGCACUUUACGUUCAUGAUACUUACGCUUGAACUCGACAUGCUUCUAACGCUAGGGGACUUUUAUUUUGUAAGUUUCAGUUUUCUAGUGUUAUUUAUUGAUCUAAUUUAGUGUUCUUAUACCCUUAUCGUGACGUGAAUGUAUACGUUUUAUGUUAAUUCAUAAGAAAUAACUGUAAAAACAAUUAUAUUGCCGUGUAAGUGAGAAUGAUUCGAUGAGCCUUAAUCACGUUUUCUUUUCAUGAUUGAGGUCUUGAUGUUUGAAGGUUAAUUUCGCAAUUGAUAACACACCAAAUUAACUUAUUCAAAAAUCAUAAUAAAUUCACACGUGUACGCACUGGAGUGUGUACCUGAGAACUAGGUACAUAUAAUUAAUUCCACAUUUGUAUUUGCAUGAACACGCGGUUUUAAUGUAGCACAAUACAAAAAUUUACAUUUAUUUCGUUCGUUUGUAAGUGCAUUUACGUCAGCAUUUGUCUGGCUCACACGUCUGCAACACUUCCUAUACAAAUAAUAUCGACUAACUUAAAUUUUGGGUAUAGAGUUGAAGUGGCUGUACAUUGGUAUGUUACUAUCUUGUAUUUUAAUUGGUUGUGUAAUAGAUAAUUGUACCUUCGCCAGUAAAUCGUUUGAUUUUUAAUAUAAGGAAGGAAAAAAGAGUAUUAUAAUAUUUUGUUGUUGUAUCAUUUAUUAUACAACAACAAAAUAUGAUGUUUAUUUAUGGCAAAAAUUAUGCGGCAAAUGUGUAACCAUCAUUUUCUGUAAACCAUUACGUAGUCAUUGUCGUGUUCGUUUUGUAAUAACUAUUAAAUAGUUAAUUUUUCUCUCGACAAUUUGAUUUCAUUUUAUUAGUAUUAUUGAGAGUUUCAAGUUAUCAGCAUAAAUAAUUAAUUAAUACAACAUUACUUGACAAUACGACUGGUAUUGUAUGUACAACAGAUCAGUUGAUUGUCUUGUAUAUAAUAAAUUACUGCACUCUCCUAUAACAAUUUAGAUGACUAAUUUUAACAUUCAUUGCAGUUUUACAAGGUGUGCGUACUUAGCAACUAUCGCAAAUGCUAAUAUGUUAUGAUUGUCUGCGGGUCGCAUUACGCAUAAUGAUGAAGUAUUUGUUAGGAAUGUAAAAAUAACAAACUUUAUGAAUCUAUAAAUUAUUGAAAUCCAAGGUAAAUGUGGAACUUAUGGCGAUCGGCAGCUAUUAUAUGACCUAAUCAAACCAUGUAGAUCGUAGAGGUUCCAUGAAACAUUUGAAACUGAUUCGUCUAAAUUCCAAUGCACCCUGAGCUUUAUGCCCAAGUGUCUACCGAGAAACGGGCACUAAUACCGGUAUGCGCAAGUCGAUAACGCUUAGCAAGGCCAAAGGAAUUCGACACUUUAUUGUGCUCGAUAUCGAGAUACGAAGCUAUCGAUAUGUCACGAUCGAUGUAGCGAUGCCGUCGAUAAAUCUAAUAGUGUGACGUUGGCUGCGUUAUUUAAGUGCUGUUUGUUGAUAUGUUAUCACUUUGAAUGUUCGAUCACAAUGUAAAUAUUUUAGGCGGAUAAACGUUUAUACUUCAAAAAA
Molecule: long non-coding RNA, 5321 nt
Organism: Trichoplusia ni (cabbage looper)
Lineage: Eukaryota; Metazoa; Arthropoda; Insecta; Lepidoptera; Noctuidae
Exons: 2
Source: RefSeq, a predicted model, not a curated record